GCAGUCGAGCGGUAGAGAGAAGCUUGCUUCUCUUGAGAGCGGCGGACGGGUGAGUAAUGCCUAGGAAUCUGCCUGGUAGUGGGGGAUAACGCUCGGAAACGGACGCUAAUACCGCAUACGUCCUACGGGAGAAAGCAGGGGACCUUCGGGCCUUGCGCUAUCAGAUGAGCCUAGGUCGGAUUAGCUAGUUGGUGGGGUAAUGGCUCACCAAGGCGACGAUCCGUAACUGGUCUGAGAGGAUGAUCAGUCACACUGGAACUGAGACACGGUCCAGACUCCUACGGGAGGCAGCAGUGGGGAAUAUUGGACAAUGGGCGAAAGCCUGAUCCAGCCAUGCCGCGUGUGUGAAGAAGGUCUUCGGAUUGUAAAGCACUUUAAGUUGGGAGGAAGGGCAGUAACCUAAUACGUUGCUGUCUUGACGUUACCGACAGAAUAAGCACCGGCUAACUCUGUGCCAGCAGCCGCGGUAAUACAGAGGGUGCAAGCGUUAAUCGGAAUUACUGGGCGUAAAGCGCGCGUAGGUGGUUUGUUAAGUUGGAUGUGAAAUCCCCGGGCUCAACCUGGGAACUGCAUUCAAAACUGACAAGCUAGAGUAUGGUAGAGGGUGGUGGAAUUUCCUGUGUAGCGGUGAAAUGCGUAGAUAUAGGAAGGAACACCAGUGGCGAAGGCGACCACCUGGACUGAUACUGACACUGAGG
Molecule: ribosomal RNA, 698 nt
Filed under: Pseudomonas sp.
Lineage: Bacteria; Pseudomonadati; Pseudomonadota; Gammaproteobacteria; Pseudomonadales; Pseudomonadaceae
Description: bacterial SSU rRNA
Rfam family: Bacterial small subunit ribosomal RNA
Source: RNAcentral